UUGAUUCGUAUCUCGCUGGCAUUGUUGU
Molecule: non-coding RNA, 28 nt
Filed under: Mus musculus (house mouse)
Lineage: Eukaryota; Metazoa; Chordata; Mammalia; Rodentia; Muridae
Source: RNAcentral